This 279-nucleotide ribosomal RNA is filed under the name Staphylococcus aureus. Its description in RNAcentral is "partial 23S ribosomal RNA". It matches the Rfam family "Bacterial large subunit ribosomal RNA", at positions 2646 to 2925 of the family's 2925-position model. The record is from RNAcentral. Lineage: Bacteria; Bacillati; Bacillota; Bacilli; Caryophanales; Staphylococcaceae.
CGUGGGCGUAGGAAAUUUGAGAGGAGCUGUCCUUAGUACGAGAGGACCGGGAUGGACAUACCUCUGGUGUACCAGUUGUCGUGCCAACGGCAUAGCUGGGUAGCUAUGUGUGGACGGGAUAAGUGCUGAAAGCAUCUAAGCAUGAAGCCCCCCUCAAGAUGAGAUUUCCCAACUUCGGUUAUAAGAUCCCUCAAAGAUGAUGAGGUUAAUAGGUUCGAGGUGGAAGCAUGGUGACAUGUGGAGCUGACGAAUACUAAUCGAUCGAAGACUUAAUCAAAA